Molecule: long non-coding RNA, 754 nt
Organism: Solanum dulcamara
Lineage: Eukaryota; Viridiplantae; Streptophyta; Magnoliopsida; Solanales; Solanaceae
Exons: 3
Source: RefSeq, a predicted model, not a curated record
AAAAAUCAAUUACCUUCUUUGUAUAAUCAAACCUUGUGUAAUAGCUAAGUUUGUUUAAUAAAGUUUUAUCAAGUUUGUGAAAGUUCUUCGGGGAUUCCCAAAAGGAAAACCUCUCUCAGUCUAAUCAUGAGAUAAUUUUCCUCUUACAGACCUUGGAUGCCCAAUUGGGCAUGUCAGGGAAAAAACACAUUUUGCAGAACUGAAAAAGGUACAAAAUAAGGUGCAUGUCGAGAACAUAACAUAUGCAGAUAGGAACAUGCUAUUGCAGGAACUAAAAACAAUCAAGGAUCAUCAAGAUACUUACACUAUAGGAAUGCAUGGAAAUUAAUUUGGCGGAAUUUAGAUGGUGAUAUUAGUUCCUAAGAGCUUAUUCUGUCAGAUUUCAACGAAUUACGAAAAAUAAAUUUACUGUAGGAUAAGAAAUGAAAGCAACAAGAACUUAUUUGGGAUUAUGCACGGAUUAGACAACAAAAGAUCCAUUAGUGCAUUAGUAGGUGUUCACUGUAGCAAAACAGUCUUACAGUUUUCAGAAUCCUACAUCAAAUAUCAACGAAAAAGGGGGAAAAAAAAGAUAGUUACCUUCGUCUUACAAAAGUAUGUCUUAGCCAAAUCAAGUUGAAGAAGUCUUCAUCAGACAAGAUUACAUGGCGCUAGUGAGAUUUUUUAGCGUCUACUGUGUAGUCUAUCUGUAAUGACCCUUCAAGUCAUUUAUGUGUUAUACCCUCUUUUCAUUGUUUAGAGCAUUUCUAUAAUG